GUGGCGCUUGGCUUGUGUCCCAUGAUUUGAGCGACGAUGCCAACAGGUACCUCUAAUCCGUAGGUCCAGAGUUCGAAUCUCUGGCGCCCCACCA
This 94-nucleotide transfer RNA is filed under the name Candidatus Dechloromonas phosphorivorans. RNAcentral describes it as "tRNA-Arg". The record is from RNAcentral. Lineage: Bacteria; Pseudomonadati; Pseudomonadota; Betaproteobacteria; Rhodocyclales; Azonexaceae.